RNAcentral lists this ribosomal RNA (950 nucleotides) under uncultured bacterium. Its description in RNAcentral is "bacterial SSU rRNA". It matches the Rfam family "Bacterial small subunit ribosomal RNA", at positions 32 to 997 of the family's 1533-position model. The record is from RNAcentral.
GGGNNNGGCGGCNNGCUACCAUGCAGUCGAACGAGAACGGGUUAUAGCUUGCUAUAAUUGUCAGCUAAGUGGCGCACGGGUGAGUAAUGUAUAGGUAAUAUGCCUCUUACUAAGGGAUAACAAAUGGAAACGUUUGCUAAUACCUUAUACUCCUUAUUAACUAAAGUUGGUAAGGGAAAGAUUUAUUGGUAAGAGAUUGGCCUGUAUUGUAUCAGUUAGUUGGUGGGGUAAUGGCCUACCAAGACUAUGACGCAUAACUGGUUUGAGAGGAUGAUCAGUCACACUGGAACUGAGACACGGUCCAGACUCCUACGGGAGGCAGCAGUGGGGAAUAUUGCACAAUGGACGAAAGUCUGAUGCAGCAACGCCGCGUGGAGGAUGACACAUUUCGGUGCGUAAACUCCUUUUAUAUAAGAAGAUAAUGACGGUAUUAUAUGAAUAAGCACCGGCUAACUCCGUGCCAGCAGCCGCGGUAAUACGGGGGGUGCAAGCGUUACUCGGAAUCACUGGGCGUAAAGAGCAUGUAGGCGGAUUGAUAAGUUUGAAGUGAAAUCCUAUAGCUUAACUAUAGAACUGCUUUGAAAACUGUUAAUCUAGAAUGUGGGAGAGGUAGAUGGAAUUUCUGGUGUAGGGGUAAAAUCCGUAGAGAUCAGAAGGAAUACCGAUUGCGAAGGCGAUCUACUGGAACAUUAUUGACGCUGAGAUGCGAAAGCGUGGGGAGCAAACAGGAUUAGAUACCCUGGUAGUCCACGCCCUAAACGAUGUACACUAGUUGUUGUGAGGCUAGACCUUGCAGUAAUGCAGUUAACACAUUAAGUGUACCGCCUGGGGAGUACGGUCGCAAGAUUAAAACUCAAAGGAAUAGACGGGGACCCGCACAAGCGGUGGAGCAUGUGGUUUAAUUCGACGAUACACGAAGAACCUUACCUGGACUUGACAUAGUAAGAACU